GGGUGAAACCAUAAGGUUUAGGAAUAGCUCUUCAUUAGGAUUAGGUUUGCCAAGCAACCGAGUGGAUCCAAGGUAGUCUUGGAGAUCUACAAAGGCUCUCUGGCACUCUUUGAUCUACUGGAAGUUUUUUUGGCUACUUUAGAACUUGGAAGAAGGGCAAGCAUCGUUAAGCCAAUCUUGAGAUGAAAUGGUUCAACGUGAUGAUCCUUCUAGUGAGGUACUAUACCUCCUUGAUCAUCUUUAGAGGAGCCAUCUCUUUGAUUAUCUUUGGAGGAGCCAUCUCCUGUAUGGCUUUGAUCUUGUCUGGAUUGGCCUCUAUUCCU
This 323-nucleotide long non-coding RNA is filed under the name Elaeis guineensis (African oil palm). RNAcentral's name for it is "long non-coding RNA (EGUI_LNC061076)". The record is from RNAcentral. Lineage: Eukaryota; Viridiplantae; Streptophyta; Magnoliopsida; Arecales; Arecaceae.